CCUAACACAUGCAAGUCGAACGGUAACAGGGAGAAGCUUGCUUCUUUGCUGACGAGUGGCGGACGGGUGAGUAAUGUCUGGGAAACUGCCUGAUGGAGGGGGAUAACUACUGGAAACGGUAGCUAAUACCGCAUAACGUCGCAAGACCAAAGAGGGGGACCUUCGGGCCUCUUGCCAUCGGACGUGCCCAGAUGGGAUUAGCUAGUAGGUGGGGUAACGGCUCACCUAGGCGACGAUCCCUAGCUGGUCUGAGAGGAUGACCAGCCACACUGGAACUGAGACACGGUCCAGACUCCUACGGGAGGCAGCAGUGGGGAAUAUUGCACAAUGGGCGCAAGCCUGAUGCAGCCAUGCCGCGUGUAUGAAGAAGGCCUUCGGGUUGUAAAGAC
Molecule: ribosomal RNA, 389 nt
Filed under: uncultured bacterium
Lineage: Bacteria
Description: bacterial SSU rRNA
Rfam family: Bacterial small subunit ribosomal RNA
Source: RNAcentral